CCUGGUUGAUUCUGCCAGUAGCAUAUGCUUGUCUCAAAGAUUAAGCCAUGCAUGUCUAAGUACACACGGCCGGUACGGUGAAACUGUGACUGUCUCAUUAAAUCAGUUAUGGUUCCUUUGGUUGCUCCAACCGUUAUUUGGAUAACUGUGGUAAUUCUGAGUUAAUACAUGCUGAAGAGCACUGACCUCCAGGGAUGCAUGCAUUUAUCAGACCAAAACCAACCCGGGCUCACCCGCCCGCUUUGGUGACUCUAGAUAACCUCGGGCUGAUCGCACACCCCCAUGGUGGCAACAACGCAUUUGAAUGUCUGCCCUACCAACUUUUGAUGGCACUUUCUGUGCCUACCAUGGUGACCACAGGUAACAGGGAAUCAGGGUUCCUUUCCAGAGAGGGAGCCUGAGAAACGACUCCAAAGAAGGCAGUAGGCACACAAAUUACCCACUUCCAACCCGGGGAGGUAGUGCUGAAAAAUAACAAUACAGGACUUUUUCAAGGCCCUGUAAUUGGAAUGAGUACGCUUUAAAUCCUUUAACAAGGAUCUAUUGCAGGGCAAGUCUGGUGCCAGUAGCCAUGGUAAGUCCAGCUCCAAUAGCGUAUAUUAACAUUGCUGCAGUUAAAAAGUUUGUAGUAAGAUCUUGGGAUCGAGCUGGCAGUCCACCGCGAGGCGAGCUACCGCCUGUCCCAACCCCUGCCUCUCGAUGCUCCCUUGACGUUCUUAACUGAGUGUCCUGGGGAUCCAAAGCAUUUAUUGUGAAAAAAUUAGAGUGUUCAAAGCAGGCUGGUUGCCAGCUAGGAAUAAUGGAAUAGGACUCUGGUUUUAUUUUGUUGGUUUUCAGAACUAGGGCGAUGAUUAAGAGGGACAACCGGGGGCAUUCGUAUUGUGCCGCUAGAGGUGAAAUUCUUGGACCGGUGCAAGAUGAACCAGAAUGAAAGCAUUUGCCAAGAAUGUUUUCAUUAAUCAAGAAUGAAAGUCGGAGGUUCGAAGACAAUCAGAUACCAUAGUAGUUCUGACCAUAAAUGAUGCCAACUAGCUGUCCGGAGGCGUUAUUCCCAUGACUCGCUGGGGAGUUUUUGGGAAACCAAAGUCUUUGGGUUCUGGGGGGAAUAUGGUUGCAAAGCUGAAACUUAAAGGAAUUGACGGAAGGGCACCACCAGGAGUGGAGCCUGCGGUUUAAUUUGACUCAACACGGGAAACCUCACCGGGCCCAGUUACAGAAAGGAUUGACAGAUUGAUAGCUCUUUCUUGAUUCUGUGGGUGGUGGUGCAUGGCUGUUCUUAGUUGGUGGAAUGAUUUGUCUGGUUAAUUCCAAUAACGAAUGAGACUCUGGCAUGCUAACUAGUUAUGCGACCCCCAAGCGGUCGGCGUCCAACUUCUUAAAGGAACCAGUGGCGUUCAGCCACCUAAGUUUGAGCAUUAACAGGUCUGUGAAGCCCUUAGAUGUCUGGGGCUGCACAUGCGCUGCACUGACUGGCUCAGCGUGUGUCUACCCUACGCCAACACGUGCCGGUAACCUGUUGAACCCCAUUUGUGAUGGGGAUUGGGGAUUGCAAUUAUUCCCCAUGAACAAGGAAUUUCCAGUAAGUGCGAGUCAUAAGCUCGCAUUGAUUAAGUCCCUGCCCUUUGUACAUGCCACUCGUUGCUACUACCGAUUGGAUGGUUUAGUGAGGUCCUUGGAUUGGCCCCGCCAGGGUCGGUCAUGGCCCAGGAAGAGUGCUGAUAAGACAGUCGAACGUGACUAUCUAGAGGAAGUAAAAGUCGCAACAAGGUUUCCGUAGGUGAACCUGCGGAAG
This 1792-nucleotide ribosomal RNA is filed under the name Gavialis gangeticus (Gharial). Its description in RNAcentral is "SSU rRNA". It matches the Rfam family "Eukaryotic small subunit ribosomal RNA". Lineage: Eukaryota; Metazoa; Chordata; Crocodylia; Gavialidae. The record is from RNAcentral.